AGUAGUGUAUGCUUCUCCUAAAGACUAAGCCAUGCAUGCCUACGAAUAGAAGAGCUUUCUCUUUGAAUCUGCGAACGGCUCCGCAAACCAGUUGUAAACUAUCGCAAGCACGCCCCAGGGUCGGCCGCAAGGUCAGCCUUGGGGUAAUAAGGAUAACCCUGGUAAUUCUGAGGCUAAUACAAGAGCGUAACCCCUGACUAACCGGCAACGGAAGGUCGGGGAACGUGUGAUACAGCGCAAAGAUUGCUGGGAAUAGGUGCACGUUCAGACCACCAAACCAAACAGUGGCUGUAGCUUCGGCGAAGGCUUCCUGGGUGGCUCUUGCUGUGUGCUUCUGACCUAUCAACUUGAUGGCAGCGUAACGGACAUGCCAUGGUUACAACGGGUACAGAGGAUAAGGGUUCGAUCCUGGAGAGUGGGCCUGAGAGAUUGCUCACACUUCUAAGGAAGGCAGCAGGCGCGCAACGUUCCCCUUGGGCAAUGCUCGAGGGCGUUAGGGGACAUAUGAAUGUCUGCCUCAUGGUGGACAAUUCAAAUGGGUCUGUUCUAAACAGCCUCU
RNAcentral lists this ribosomal RNA (559 nucleotides) under Craterium leucocephalum. Its description in RNAcentral is "SSU rRNA". It matches the Rfam family "Eukaryotic small subunit ribosomal RNA", at positions 19 to 537 of the family's 1831-position model. The record is from RNAcentral. Lineage: Eukaryota; Evosea; Eumycetozoa; Physariida; Physaraceae.